AGCGAACGCUGGCGGCAGGCCUAACACAUGCAAGUCGAACGGAUCCUUCGGGAUUAGUGGCGGACGGGUGAGUAACACAUGGGAACGUGCCCUUUGGUUCGGAACAACUCAGGGAAACUUGAGCUAAUACCGGAUGUGCCCUUCGGGGGAAAGAUUUAUCGCCAUUGGAGCGGCCCGCGUCUGAUUAGCUAGUUGGUGAGGUAACGGCCCACCAAGGCGACGAUCAGUAGCUGGUCUGAGAGGAUGAUCAGCCACACUGGGACUGAGACACGGCCCAGACUCCUACGGGAGGCAGCAGUGGGGAAUCUUGCGCAAUGGGCGAAAGCCUGACGCAGCCAUGCCGCGUGAAUGAUGAAGGUCUUAGGAUUGUAAAAUUCUUUCAGCGGGGACGAUAAUGACGGUAUCCGCAGAAGAAGCUCCGGCUAACUUCGUG
This 433-nucleotide ribosomal RNA is filed under the name uncultured bacterium. RNAcentral's name for it is "partial 16S ribosomal RNA". It matches the Rfam family "Bacterial small subunit ribosomal RNA", at positions 29 to 507 of the family's 1533-position model. The record is from RNAcentral.